AGGUUUCCGUAGGUGAACCUGCGGAAGGAUCAUUGAAUUAUUAAAUCCACAAUGCGAACCUAUCUGUUCCGUGCCUUAGCUGCCAGCAAGGCAAUUGGCUUGCCCAAUUGUACUUGCAAGCUGGUGCGAGUAAUUUGAUUACUUGCAUCAGUGGCGCUUUGGCAUGCUUAUACACCAGUGCUAACCACUGUCAAAACCAAACUCUGAAGCUUUGAUUGCUAUUAACUGGCAAUCUUAACCAAAGACAACUCUCAACACCGGAUAUGUUGGCUCUCGCAACGAUGAAGAACGCAGCGAAAUGCGAUAUGUAGUGUGAAUUGCAGAAUUCCGUGAACCAUCGAAUCUUUGAACGCAUAUUGCGCUCGAGCCCUCGGGCAAGAGCAUGUCUGCCUCAGCGUCGGUUUAUACCCUCACCCCUCUCUCCUUUUGGAGGGCUGGUCAGCUUUCUAGUUGGCCUCAGGGGUGGAUCUGGCUUUCCCAAUUGGUUCACUCCGAUUGGGUUGGCUGAAGCUUAGAGGCUUAAGCAAGGACCCGAUAUGGGCUUCAACUGGAUAGGUAGCACCGGCUUCUGCCGACUACACGAAGUUGUGGCUUGUGGACUUUGCUAGAGGCCAAGCAGGAAACAUGCUUUGCAUGUCUUAAACUUUCGACCUGAGC
Molecule: unclassified non-coding RNA, 657 nt
Filed under: Tetradesmus obliquus
Lineage: Eukaryota; Viridiplantae; Chlorophyta; Chlorophyceae; Sphaeropleales; Scenedesmaceae
Description: sequence contains 5.8S rRNA gene, ITS2
Rfam family: 5.8S ribosomal RNA (bases 247-400)
Source: RNAcentral